AUGGCCAACGCAAUGUUGCUCGCUGCAGUGCUCGUCUCCUUCCUCCCCCUGCCCUUCUCCGCCCUGGCCCUGACCCAGGACUUCUGCGUGGCUGACCUGGCCUGCCCCGACACGCCGGCAGGGUACCCGUGCAAAAAGGGCGUCGGGGCGGACGACUUCUACUACCACGGCCUGGCCGCCGCCGGCAACACCAACAACCUCAUCAAGGCCUUCGUGGGCCAGUUCCCCGGCGUCAACGGGCUCGGCAUCUCCGCGGCCAGGCUCGACAUCGCCGUCGGCGGCGUCGUGCGGCUGCACACCCACCCGGCCGCCUCCGAGCUGCUCUUCGUCACGGAGGGCACCAUCCUCGCCGGCUUCAUCAGCUCCUCCUCUAACACCGUCUACACCAAGACGCUCUACAAGGGCGACAUCAUGGUCUUCCCCCAGGGCCUGCUCCACUACCAGUACAACGGCGGUAGCUCCCCGGCCGUCGCCCUCGUCGCCUUCAGCGGCCCCAACCCUGGCCUGCAGAUCACCGACUACGCGCUCUUCGCCAACAACCUCCCGUCCGCCGUCGUUGAGACCGUCACCUUCCUCGACGACGCGCAGGUCAAGAAGCUCAAGUUCGUGCUCGGCGGCACCGGCUAA
This 627-nucleotide ribosomal RNA is filed under the name Triticum aestivum (bread wheat). Its description in RNAcentral is "partial small subunit ribosomal RNA". Lineage: Eukaryota; Viridiplantae; Streptophyta; Magnoliopsida; Poales; Poaceae. The record is from RNAcentral.